CUCGGUAUAGCUGCUCCAGAUUUUGUCUUCCCUAUACUGGUUGAUGAAGGCGGCGGUGCCGGUGGAAUUGCAAGCCACCAUAUGGAAGCCAGCUUCGGAGAGACGGUCGAAGGCCUGCUCCAGCCCAAGGCCCAUGGAGAAGAUGCUGCCCAGUGGGAAGAAUGGACCUUUAGUCCUAGAAGCAGGCACGUUCAGGAUGAAUAAAUGAACAUGGAUGAACAAGAGAAAACUGACCUGCUUCUGUUAUAAGAAUGGUCUGCCACUCUAGCUUCUCUGGAAACAUCUGGAAUGUUUGGCCUACUGCCCUGCAACAUCAUUCCUCAUCUGGAUAUUUUUGAAUGCUAUAAUGUAAACCUCAUCACUAAUUAUGGAAAAGUUGAUAGAUCUAUUGGUUCUUCUUUUUUUAAAAAGGCCAAUCACAUGUACUCUCAAAUGUACUCUGUGCAUGUACUCUCAACUGUCACAAAAUAGAGAACAGCAAAUAGUUUAGUCGUCGUGUGUUGUCUAAAAGUAAACCUCUUUCUAAUGAUGCACUUUAUAAUGCACUGAUGCAUUACAGAAUCAGAAUUUGUUAGCUGGCACCAGUGUUAGUACUGAAUACUAUUACUGCAACCCUGAAUUCUUUUAUAUAAGAGUGCAAAGGUCUUGAACAUCACACAAAAGCCCUUCAUUCAUAUAUAUAUAUAAGCAACUAACUUCUAUAUAUUAUAUAAUAAAAAAUAUAAAUAUAAAUAAAAUAUAUACAUAUACAUAUACAUAUAUCAGAAUGGAGGGCUUUUGUGUGUUGUGCGUAUCGCACAUACAUUUUACAUGUGAAGCAAAUCUAGCAAGGUCUGAGCCAAUUCUGGGGUAGCAGCAGGUUAAAGAGAGUGUGAUGAGUAAAAACCCUGUGCAGCCACUGAAUAAGUAAAUAGUAAUUUGUCUACAUCAGUUAGAAACACUGAUGCAGAGAAACUUCAUAAUGCUCAGGUUUUUUGUGAAAUACACAUCUUACUUGACUUUUGGACAUCCAUUGUAAUACAUGCACUGUAAAGCUCAUGUUGUAUUUAAUGAGGGGAUGUCCUACAAAUCAGUUAGUUAGCCAUUACAUGGAAAAUAUCUUAUAAAUAGGAUGGGUUAUUAUUUAUUUAUUAAAACAUUUUUAUACCACCCAAAACCUACGUCUCUGGGCGGUUUAGAACAGAAUAAAAACAAAGUAAAACAUUCGUUAAGACAAAAAUGGAGGGGGGGAACACACACAUUACAACAAUUUAAAAAUUUUUAAAUAAUAUUUUAAAACAGCAUUAAAUUAUGCUCAGCGUUUCUGUAAUAGAGAUCUGGCUCCAGGCAGCUGGUUAGAUCAAGAGGUACAGGACCUGGGAGAGCUCCAAGGGACAGCAGGGGCUGAUUCAAGAAGGUUCAAAGCCCAAUAGAGCUUUUCUGUCCCUAAGCAAGUUCUAAGGACUGCUGGACUGCCCAGGAAAGUGCACUUGCAAGGAACAGAAAGGGUGGAGCUCCCACUCCAAGUUAUUCA
Hemicordylus capensis (graceful crag lizard) is the source of this 1513-nucleotide long non-coding RNA. RefSeq lists it as uncharacterized. The transcript is spliced from 3 exons. NCBI's taxonomy places the organism in Eukaryota, Metazoa, Chordata, Lepidosauria, Squamata, Cordylidae. The record is from RefSeq and is a predicted model, not a curated record.